CAGCAGCCGCGGUAAUACGUAGGUGGCAAGCGUUGUCCGGAAUUAUUGGGCGUAAAGGGUGCGUAGGCGGCUUGACAAGUCUUGUGUGAAAUCUAUGGGCUCAACCCAUAGUCUGCACGGGAAACUGUCGGGCUUGAGAAUGGGAGAGGUGAGUGGAAUUUCCGGUGUAGAGGUGAAAUGCGUAGAUAUCGGAAGGAACACCUGUGGCGAAAGCGGCUCACUGGACCAUUUCUGACGCUGAUGCACGAAAGCUAGGGGAGCAAACAGGAUUAGAUACCCGCGUAGUCCCUGUCUCUUAUAC
This 301-nucleotide ribosomal RNA is filed under the name uncultured bacterium. Its description in RNAcentral is "partial 16S ribosomal RNA". It matches the Rfam family "Bacterial small subunit ribosomal RNA", at positions 509 to 807 of the family's 1533-position model. The record is from RNAcentral.